CCAAGCACAGACAGCACGCUUAAGCACAGAAGACUGCAUAAAUGCUGGAGACUGUUUUACCCAAAUCACAUAUAUAUGGCUGCCGUUGGAAGGUACAUUAUCAAGAGUUUUAUUUUUGCAACUAAAGACUACUAUACAACAUCAGAAUAUCUGCGUUUGUGAAGACAUCAAGACCCUUAAACCUCUGGAAACGGCAUUACCAAGAAGGCAUUUAUUCAGAACUAUGGCUACAAGUCACAAUGAUGCUUGCUGUGCAACCAAAGAUUUUGCAAUGGAACAGUUAAGAAACCAUUUUAGGGUAUAUCAGCCAGAAUUCCAGUCACAUCAGCUGGAAUGACCGCCUGUCAGAAGCAUGCAAAGAGGUCUUGGUGGACUUUCCAACGUGGUCACUCCAGUGACCUUUCAGAAAUUGCUGCAUAGGUUUCUGAGCGCUCAUAGGCUAAAGAAUGGCCACAUUGGAAUUGCACCGUGGGCUGGAGCCUGGGACUUGCGUGUGGGGUGGAGAGAGAGCUGACCUGCCUGACAAUUUUGACUCAGAGAUGCAGGAAUGGGAAGA
This is a non-coding RNA of Danio rerio (zebrafish), 556 nucleotides long. NCBI's taxonomy places the organism in Eukaryota, Metazoa, Chordata, Actinopteri, Cypriniformes, Danionidae. The record is from Ensembl.